Molecule: ribosomal RNA, 218 nt
Filed under: uncultured bacterium
Lineage: Bacteria
Description: partial 16S ribosomal RNA
Rfam family: Bacterial small subunit ribosomal RNA
Source: RNAcentral
GACGAACGCUGGCGGCGUGCUUAACACAUGCAAGUGGAGCGACGAACCGGGCUUCGGCCCGGGGCAAAGCCGCGAACGGGUGAGUAACACGUGGGUUACCUGCCCCGAUGACUGGGACAACCCGGGGAAACCGGGCUAAUACCGGAUGUGCCCUAAGGGGGAAGGAAGCUUCGGCCUCCGCAUCGGGAUGGGCCCGCGGCCCAUUAGCUUGUUGGUGA